UACGCGUCGCACGCCGCGCAAAGGACAUUCCGAAUCUGGGGAGAGAAUCCUCCCAAAGAUACGCGCUCAUCUGCGCUUUCUCUCUCUCUCUCUCUCUCUCUCUCUUUCUCUCUCUCUCUCUUUCUUUUUCUCUCUUUUUCUUUCUUUCUUUCUUUCUUUCUUUCUCUCUCUCUCUCUCUGUCUCCGUCUCUGUCUCUAUCUCUUUCUUACUCCUUGUCUCUCUUAUCUCUUACACUCUUCUCGGUCCAUCCAUCAAUCUUCAUCCCUCUUUACUAUAAUCGGACCAAAACUGGACUUGGCCGAGAGAGCUCGCGUUUUUUCUCUUCUGCGACAACUCGACGCCACUUCUUCGAGAGGAUGCGCGUCUUAUCGCCGGUGGAUCGACCCCUCGAAAACUCGUGCGUCUCAAUGUUUUAAGAAUAUAGACGAUUCGGGGAUUCACAUUGCACCUCGAUAUGAGAACGCGCUAAGAUGCCAUUACGAAUGGCUCGCGAAGAAUACGCCCUGGAAAUACGUGAAUCGGUCCGACGUCCGCGCCAUCCCCCGAGAUCUCAUUAAUAAGUUCGGCAAAUCGAAUUAACGGAGUCGGCGAAUCGUUACCCACUUUUGACCGAACGUUAACUUUGUCGCGGAUUAACUCGCCUUGCCAUUAUCUCUCGAGAGAAUAGAAACUUCGUUUCGUGCUCCUUUUUCUAGCUGGUUAAAAUAUAAGUUGUUGUCUACGGUGGGUGGGGCGGGGGAGGAGAGAACGCAUUCGACCGUCCGAAGGCGCGUCGCGUGUCACCGAACUCGAUCGAGAUAGACGCGAGAGUUCGCGUCUUUUUUCUUCUCGCGUUUGUUCGCAAUCGAUGAUUCGAUGAAAUAAAAGCGAGGUAAAAAAGAGGGGCGAGAAAAGUUCAAGGCAACGUUCACGGCUAUCCUCCGUCGCUGAUAAAGGGCGAGGCCUUUUCUCUUUUGCAUCUUUAUCUACACGUACACACACACACAUACAUAUAUGUGUGUGUAUAUAUAUACAAGUAUACGUAUAUACGCGUAUUAUAACAUCGUUAGAACUCGAAACGCUUUCUUUCGCAACGUGUAUUUCCAACGACGCGCGAUGCUACGACCACAAGCACGUUUUUGUUGAUUUUAGGGAAGAACGGUUGAUGCAUCGCGCAAAGUCGAAUCUUGAAAUGAAAGUUUAAUCGAGAUCGUCGCGGCUUCUCGUUCCCACGGCAACGCGUAGCUCUCUCGACGGACGGCACGAUGCCGAGAGCUUGAUAGAAAGCGACAGUAUCUGGAGGAGGACCGUCGGGAACGCGGCUCUGCGUUCGUCGUUGUCAGUGAAGCAGAGGCGUGGAUCAAACCUCAUCGAGAUCAAGAUCGUACAAAGACUGACAGAUUUGAAAUAUCUCGACGAGAUCGAAUUAAGAGAUAUCGAUCCUUCGAACGUUGAAAUUUCACGCUGUCCGAACUAUCGAAUUGGUCAUCGUACGAGCCAUCGAAUUAGCUCUGGCAUGAAAGACGAACCACUUGGAAAAAGAACACCGUGGAUGCAGCCUGGAAUAGGAGUAGGUCGUGGUGGAGGAGGAGGCGGAGGUAGAGGAGGAGGAGGAGGAGGAGGAGGAGGAGGAGGAGGAGGAGGAAGAGGAGGAACAACAGCAGCAGGAGUAGGAGGAGGAGGAGGCGCGGCCCACGUGGCCGGAACAGCCGACGAUGAGGCACCGAAAGAUCCAGGCGCUCGUAUCACCCAUCAAUCCUACACCGAAAAGGAUUAUGAAGGUCAUCGAGCACACACGGUCUACGUGGGCGUACAUUUACCCGGCGAGAGAAGACAUCGUCGGCACCAUAAACACCAUCAUUCUCAACGGCAAUCGUAUGGAGACACUAAAGAGGAUAUCGACAACGAAAGACCUAGACAAUUGGUGAUGACGCGCAGGGCUCGUCUCGCGAGCAUUUGCGACCCCGACGGCGAGAUGAUAUUCACGCCGCCGGCGCAGAGAGUGCAAUUUAUUCUUGGCGAGGAAGUCGGGGACGAUGCUCACGAAUCGCAUCCUCUCUUUUCCGAGAUGGAAGAACUCGUCAAGGAUGGAGAUGAAAUGGAAUGGAAAGAAACCGCGAGAUGGAUCAAGUUCGAGGAAGACGUGGAAGAAGGUGGAAACAGAUGGAGCAAACCGCACGUAGCUACGUUAUCGUUACAUUCGCUCUUCGAACUGAGAAGUUUGCUUUUGAAUGGCACCGUGAUGCUCGACAUGGAGGCCAAUAGUCUCGAACAGAUAGCCGAUCUCGUUCUAGAUAAUAUGAUCAACAAAGGUGCACUGUCGAACGAGUCUCGAGAAAAGGUAAGAGAAGCUCUUCUAGUGAGACAUCGACAUCAGCACGAGAGACGUAAGGACAACAACAUGUCGAGAUUACCGAUCAUAAGAUCCUUGGCAGAGAUUGGACGUAAUCAUUCGUCAUCGAAGAAGUACGGCUGUACAUGUGGUAUGCAUGCCUUGUUGACGUCAGAUUUGCAGGAGCGUCGCGACGUCGGAGACGCCUAUGCGCCCUCCGUCGGCCGCAGCAGCAGUUGUCCAAACUCGAAUACGGCCCUACUUUCGAAAGAGGCGAAAGAUCUGAAAGGGCCAUACCUUCUGGUACCAGGUCAAGAGCCAGGUGCCAACGGAAUCGAUCGAAGUCCGAGCAGCGUUUCGAUCAGCAGAAAUCACAGUUCUUCCGCUUUGGAAAACGGAGAUGCCAAUCAUAGGGGUAACACACAUUUCAUGAGAAAGAUACCGGCCGGUGCCGAAGCGAGCAACAUCCUCGUGGGCGAGGUCGAUUUUCUAGACAAAACCUUGUCCGCCUUCAUACGACUCAGUCAAGCAGGAAUAAUGGGCGAUCUCACGGAGGUACCGGUGCCAACGAGAUUUAUCUUCGUUCUUCUAGGACCUAUGGGUGGAAUUUCGGGUUUCCACGAAAUUGGACGUGCUAUGGCGACGCUGAUGUCCGACGAGGUCUUCCACGACGUCGCAUACAAGGCCAAAAAUAGGAACCACCUUCUGGCGGGUAUCGACGAAUUUCUAGACGCGGUGACCGUCUUGCCUCCGGGCGAGUGGGAUCCUACCAUCAGGAUAGAACCACCGGCUGCCAUACCGUCGCAAGACGUGAGGAAAAGGCCGAAGGAGGAAAAGCCGAAGGAAGAAGCCGACGAGGAGGCCGACGAACAGAAGCAGAGGGAGGAAUCCGGUUUAUCCAGAACGGGAAGACUUUUCGGAGGCUUGAUAAACGACGUGAAAAGAAAGGCGCCAUUUUACUUUUCCGAUUUCAAAGACGCGCUCGCUCUACAGUGCGUCGCAUCCUUCAUUUUCUUAUACUUUGCCUGUCUCUCGCCCAUCAUAACCUUUGGUGGCCUCUUGAGCGAGGCCACGGGAAAGAACAUGGCCGCGAUGGAAUCUUUGGUAUCCGGAUUCGUUUGCGGUCUCGGAUACGGAUUCUUCUCGGGACAACCGCUCACUAUUUUAGGAUCGACCGGGCCGGUCUUGGUCUUCGAGACGAUCGUCUAUGAAUUUUGCAAGCAAUCCGAUUGGAAUUACAUGUCUUUUCGCUUUUGGAUCGGUACGUGGACGACCGUCAUUCUGUUAACACUCGUAGCCCUUGACGCGAGCGCCUUCGUCUGCUACAUAACCCGAUUUACCGAAGAGAACUUUGCCACUCUCAUCGCUUUCAUUUUUAUUUACAAGGCUGUGGAAAACGUCCUCUCGAUCGGCAAAAAGUAUCCUAUAAAUACUCACGCCAACGAUCCCUUGGCUUACGAAUGCUGGUGCAAACCACCGAACGAUAGCUCGUCCUACGGCUCCGAGAACGUAAAUUGGACGACGCUGGAUCGGACAACGUGUCAGAAUUACAACGGCACGCUUAUAGGAGAGGGUUGUAACGUACCGCAAUACGUACCCGAUGUGUUCCUCAUGUCAAUUAUCCUUUUCAUGGGCACCUUCUUGUUAUCCGUCGAGAUGAAGGACUUUAAGAAUGCUCUUUUCUUUCCAUCGAAGGUCAGACAAGUGUUGAGCGAUUUUGCCGUUAUUAUCGCGAUCUUCUCGAUGUCCUUGUUGGAUCAUUUCGUGGGUAUCCCAACGCCAAAGUUAGAAGUACCUGAAGAAUUCAAGCCGACCCUGGAAGGCCGGGGAUGGAUGAUUUGGCCUUUUCAGAAUAAUCCAUGGUGGAGCGCCAUCGUGGCUAUUCUACCCGCUCUCUUGGGCACUAUACUGAUCUUUAUGGAUCAGCAGAUAACGGCGGUGAUCGUUAACAGGAAGGAAAACAAGUUAAAGAAAGGAUGCGGCUAUCAUCUGGACCUGUUUAUCCUGGCAAUCCUGAUAGAGGUCUGUUCGGUGAUGGGCUUACCGUGGUUCGUGGCGGCUACCGUGCUUUCCAUAAAUCACGUGAAUUCGUUGAAAUUGGAGUCGGAGUGCGCAGCGCCGGGCGAGAAGCCACAAUUCUUAGGCGUUCGAGAGCAGAGAGUUACGCACAUACUGAUCUUUCUCAUGAUCGGUUGCUCCGUUCUCCUGACGCCGAUGCUCAGGCACAUACCGAUGCCAGUACUAUUCGGUGUCUUCCUGUACAUGGGCGUGGCUUCUCUCAAAGGACUCCAGUUCUUCGAUAGAAUUCUCAUCAUGCUUAUGCCGGUCAAGUACCAACCCGACUACAUGUUCCUUCGACAGGUGCCGUUAAAACGCGUCCACGUAUUCACAGCGAUACAACUGACUUGUCUAGCUUGUCUAUGGAUCAUCAAGUCGUUUAGCACUACCUCCAUUCUAUUUCCAUUGAUGCUCGUAGUGAUGAUCGGCAUUCGCAAGUCCCUCGACUUGAUCUUCACUCAGCGAGAAUUGAAGAUUCUCGACGACGUGAUGCCGGAACCGAGCAAGAAGCACGCCGACGAUCUUCGCCAAUUGGAGAGCGGCGAGGAACAUCAGAAUUAUCCCAUCGGUUUUGGAGCACCGGAUAACAUUCAAAUAUCUUUGGCAAACGGAAAUAUUAUGAAGAUUCCAUUGGCGAGCAUCAAUAUCAGCGAGGAAGUCAAUAAGAGUGGGAUUUGGCAACAAGUUAAUGAGAGUAACGAGAAGCAGAAACAACCGAAAUUAAUGAACGUAAGCAAAUCAAAGAAGCAUCUCAAGAAGGAGGGCUCGUUGCUGGUCGACGAAACGACGAGGCUGACGACGAUGACGGAGGAAGACGAAGAUGACAAUGGCAUAUCGAUCAAGGUGACGAGCGUAAAUGACUCUAAAUUCUAACAAGCAUCAUCACCAAGACACACAGCAAGAGCACCAAUACACCGGCAUGCGACAUACCCCAUAUACCACUGCUGUAGAUCUUAUACGAUCGAAGGAGAGUAUCGGCCCAUUGAAAGUAAAUGGCACUACGUCGGCAGAGACAUCCGUUUAACAAGUACGAUAUCCUACGGGAUGUCGUCUCCAAUUCAAAAAGUAAAUUCGUAUCUGGUAAAAUUUCAGGGGAGGAAAAAAUAUAUGUAUACAUAUAUACAUAUACAUAUAUAUAUAUACAUAUAUAUAUAUAAUUAUUUUCAGGUGACUUUUUAUAUGAAACGACUAGAUUAGACGAAAAUCUUAAUUGCAUUAAAUACCGUUCCAGUAUAUAUGCAUAGUACGAUGGACCUCGCGAUCUUAACUUAAAAUGCCUUUAUUUAAACAAACAAUAAAACAAAAUCAAAAUGAUUUUACGAACGUCGAUCAUCAUACAAUCGUACGUUGUUAGAAGGUAUAUAGUUUCUUUUAUACGAGGCAUUACUUUCAGAGAAAUUUUUUCAUGCAACGUUGUCAUUUGUCAUUAACAAAAGCCAAGGAAUUUAAGAUCGUUUCGAUGAACAUUUAACAUUUUUGCGAUAGCAUUUAUUACGUGUUUCGAGUGUUUCAAAAGAUAGAAAGCGGAUAGUGGAUCGUUCGCAUUAUUCAUUGUAUACAAAUACAUGCAUACGAUAUAUACACAUAGUACAGACACACGUACAUACAUACAUACAUACAUACACAUAAUCCGUUGAGAAACCGACAAUACUUACGCUUCUUUUCGUAUUACACCACGAUAAGAUUGUAUCAAAGUUGGUAAAGAUUAGAUUGGUUGAAGAAUAUUAUACUGGAGUAAACUCCAAAAGAGUAAAACAAACUAUUAGAAAAUAACGAAAAAGCGACAGAUACUUGUUUUGAUCGUUAGUUAGUACGAAUAAGGUGUUUAGUCGAUAAAUCGAUCGAUGAUCCAACGUACCGAUUAACGUAUUAAGUAUUCACAUUUUAGAGGCUUAGCAAAUUUUACCAUUAAGAGGCUGGAUGUAUAUAGUAUAUAUGUACGAAUAAAAAAAAAAAAGAUAAAAAAACAAAAAAGAUGCAAAAGAAAAAAAAAUUUGAGAGAAAGUUGUAUAAAUACGACGUUUAAAAUGCGUUUUAAGGCGAACGCAAUUCCAUACAAUCGAUGUAUUCAUAUCUCUGUCGCAAUUAUUUAUAAAUUCUGUUCUGAGUAAUGAAAGACAAGAA
Vespula vulgaris is the source of this 6494-nucleotide RNA transcript. It is a transcript of the gene named sodium bicarbonate cotransporter 3, with no coding region annotated. The record is from RefSeq and is a predicted model, not a curated record. Lineage: Eukaryota; Metazoa; Arthropoda; Insecta; Hymenoptera; Vespidae. The transcript has 23 exons.